RNAcentral lists this ribosomal RNA (692 nucleotides) under uncultured Chloroflexota bacterium. RNAcentral describes it as "bacterial SSU rRNA". It matches the Rfam family "Bacterial small subunit ribosomal RNA", at positions 9 to 716 of the family's 1533-position model. Lineage: Bacteria; Bacillati; Chloroflexota. The record is from RNAcentral.
GAGUUUGAUCCUGGCUCAGGACGAACGCUGGCGGUGCGCCUAAUGCAUGCAAGUCGAACGGGCGGAGGGGCUUCGGCCCCCGAGCUAGUGGCAGACGGCUGAGUAACACGUAAGUGAUCUGCCCCGGAGAGGGGGAUAACCCGGAGAAGUCCGGCCUAAUACCCCGUACGCUCCCUUUACUGCGGUAGAGAGAGGAAAGUUCCGGCGCUCUGGGAGGAGCUUGCGGCCUAUCAUGGUAGUUGGUGGGGUAAAAGCCUACCAAGCCGAAGACGGGUAACCGGUGUGAGAGCACGAUCGGUCAGAGGGGGACUGAGACACGGCCCCCACUCCUACGGGAGGCAGCAGCAGGGAAUCUUGCGCAAUGGGCGAAAGCCUGACGCAGCGACACCGCGUGGGGGAUGAAGGCUUUCGAGUUGUAAACCCCUUUUCCCGGGGAUGAGAAAGGACAGUACCCGGGGAAUAAGGUUCGGCUAACUACGUGCCAGCAGCCGCGGUAAUACGUAGGAACCGAGCGGUGUCCGGAUUUACUGGGCGUAAAGUGCGCGUAGGCCGGUCUGUUAAGUCUCAUGUGAAAUCUCCCGGCUCAACUGGGGAGGGGUCAUGGGAUACUGGCAGACUUGAGUGCAGCAAAAGGGAGUGGAAUUCCCGGAGUAGUGGUGGAAUGCGUAGAUACCGGGAGGAACACCAGAGGC